GACGAACGCUGGCGGCGUGCCUAAUACAUGCAAGUAGAACGCUGAAGGGGGAUCUUGCUUCUCUGGAUGAGUUGCGAACGGGUGAGUAACGCGUAGGUAACCUGCCUUGUAGCGGGGGAUAACUAUUGGAAACGAUAGCUAAUACCGCAUAAUAGUAUAUGUUGCAUGACAUUUGCUUAAAAGGUGCAAUUGCAUCACUACCAGCUGGACCUGCGUUGUAUUAGCUAGUUGGUGGGGUAACGGCUCACCAAGGCGACGAUACCUAGCCGACCUGAGAGGGUGAUAGGCCACACUGGGAAUGAGACACGGGCCAGACUCCUAAGGGAGGGAGCAGUAGGGAAUCUUCGGCAAUGGACGGAAGUCUGACCGAGCAACGCCGCGUGAGUGAAGAAGGUUUUCGGAUCGUAAAGAUCUGUUGUAAGCGAAGAAAGAGUGUGAGAGUGGAAAGUUCACACUGUGACGGUAACUUACCAGAAAGGGACGGCUAACUACGUG
RNAcentral lists this ribosomal RNA (495 nucleotides) under uncultured bacterium. RNAcentral's name for it is "partial 16S ribosomal RNA". It matches the Rfam family "Bacterial small subunit ribosomal RNA", at positions 28 to 507 of the family's 1533-position model. The record is from RNAcentral.